AGCAGUAGCCGCGGGAAUACGAAGGGGGCUAGCGUUGUUCGGAAUUACUGGGCGUAAAGCGCACGUAGGCGGAUAUUUAAGUCAGGGGUGAAAUCCCAGAGCUCAACUCUGGAACUGCCUUUGAUACUGGGUAUCUUGAGUAUGGAAGAGGUGAGUGGAAUUCCGAGUGUAGAGGUGAAAUUCGUAGAUAUUCGGAGGAACACCAGUGGCGAAGGCGGCUCACUGGUCCAUUACUGACGCUGAGGUGCGAAAGCGUGGGGAGCAAACAGGAUUAGAUACCCGCGUAGUCCCUGUCUCUUAUAC
This 303-nucleotide ribosomal RNA is filed under the name uncultured bacterium. RNAcentral's name for it is "partial 16S ribosomal RNA". It matches the Rfam family "Bacterial small subunit ribosomal RNA", at positions 507 to 807 of the family's 1533-position model. The record is from RNAcentral.